GGACGAACGCUGGCGGCGUGCCUAACACGAUGCGAAGUCGAGCGGGGACAUACGACGGAGCAGAAGUUUCGGAUGGAAGCGAAGAUGUAUGUUCUAGCGGCGGACGGGUGAGUAACGCGUGAGCAACCUGUCCUUCACAGGGGGAUAACACAGCGAAAGUUGUACUAAUACCGCAUAAGACCACACUGGGACAUCCCAGAGGGGUCAAAGGAGCAAUCCGGUGAAGGGUGGGCUCGCGUCCGAUUAGAUAGUUGGUGAGGUAACGGCCCACCAAGUCGACGAUCGGUAGCCGACCUGAGAGGGUGAUCGGCCACAUUGGGACUGAGACACGGCCCAAACUCCUACGGGAGGCAGCAGUGGGGAAUAUUGGGCAAUGGGGGGAAACCCUGACCCAGCAACGCCGCGUGAGGGAAGAAGGUUUUCGGAUCGUAAACCUCUGUCCUUGGUGAAGAGGAAGAGACGGUAGCCAAGGAGGAAGCCCCGGCUAACUACGUGCCAGCCGCCGC
This 506-nucleotide ribosomal RNA is filed under the name uncultured bacterium. RNAcentral describes it as "bacterial SSU rRNA". It matches the Rfam family "Bacterial small subunit ribosomal RNA", at positions 27 to 518 of the family's 1533-position model. The record is from RNAcentral.